Small nucleolar RNA from Vitis vinifera (wine grape), 106 nucleotides. It matches the Rfam family "Plant small nucleolar RNA R71". From Rfam's summary of the family: R71 is a member of the C/D box family of snoRNAs containing the C (UGAUGA) and D (CUGA) box motifs. Multiple nearly identical copies of this snoRNA have been identified in Arabidopsis, and it is thought to function as a 2'-O-ribose methylation guide for 18S ribosomal RNA. The record is from Rfam. NCBI's taxonomy places the organism in Eukaryota, Viridiplantae, Streptophyta, Magnoliopsida, Vitales, Vitaceae.
AAUCAUGAUGGGGGCAUAAGUUGAUCAAAUCUUGAUACCUCUCCCAACAAUCAUAAAAUGACUCACUUUCAUUUUGUUUGAAAAUGGUGAUUUUUCUCAUCAAAGU